Molecule: long non-coding RNA, 6351 nt
Organism: Sarcophilus harrisii (Tasmanian devil)
Lineage: Eukaryota; Metazoa; Chordata; Mammalia; Dasyuromorphia; Dasyuridae
Source: Ensembl
UAGAUUGUCAAUUUAUUGAUGACAGAGAUGAUCUUUCGCUUUUUUUUUUUUUUUAAUCCGCAGCUCUUAUUCCAAUGUCUGCCUUUCGACAAAUUGAUAGGUCGUAUUCCUCUGGCUUCACACGAUGAACUGUCUAACCGAAUCUCCCACCUUCCCUCUAUAAUAAAACAAUUCUCGCGUUUCCACUCCACUCUGCUGGGCUCCUUAAAUUCAUUCCAGAAGCCAAAGCACUGGUGCCUAGAUUUUGAGCGGGCGCGCGCUGGAGAGGGUUGGAGCCUUGAGUGUGGGAAGAGAGAGGGAGGGAAGGAGGGUUGAGGGAGAGCCACCUGUGGCCCUUACCGGGAGCUCGCUUGCGGCUCACCUGGCAUUGGUCAAUGUCCAGCAGGAGGCGCGAGGAUUAUAGUUAGAAUCUCCUUCUCCCAGUAAUUAAGUAUCCUUGAAUAGUUACGCCCAAACACUUAAAAAUUUAAACAAUGUCCGGGAGGAGGAGAAGGGGAAGGGCCCUUUAGGAAAUGAAAUUAAGUGACCUACCCAUGUCUACGUGACUUGGAUUUCGGCCAGCCUUCUUCCGGGGCGUAAUUUUCGGUAUAUAAAGUUUAGCGGCUGCAAACUUCUCUAAUAAUAGUUCUCAGCUGUAGCGAGGCAUCCUCAAAAACCGGCUCCUCCUCUCCGACUGCUAUUUCAAAAGUCGCAAUCAUGAACUUCUUUCAAUUCCUCAUGAAGAAGAAAGAACUUAUUCCUUUGAUCGCAUUUGUAAGUAUUGCUGGAAGUGGAGCAGCCUAUAUGGCCACGUACUCCUUUUUCAAAAGUGAUGUGAUUGUUAACAGAUGGCAAAAUCCAGAACCUUGGGAAAAUGUGAAUCCUAGCAAGCCUCAAAAGCUUGUCACAAUUAACCAAAGAUGGGAACCUGUUGAAGAGCUGCAGGCUAUCAAAAAGUUGACCAAAUGAAGAGUUUCCUUCUAAAUCACACACUGAAUCUAAUGGAAACAUUUCUGCACAAACUAGACUAUUGAAACCAGUGUGCAAAAUUGCUUCUGCUACAUUUUUAGGAAUACAUAGGAAAUUUCCAUUUUGCCCCAAAAGUGGCAAGCUUGGCAAUAUCUGUAGUCGGUCCAAAAAAAUUCUCAUAUUUGCUGUAUUGGAAAGGUGACAAUCUAAAAUGCUGCUCUACAAUUUGAAUUUUCAUAUUCUAAAUAAGAACUUUUUGAAAUGUAAAGAUUAUUACAUACAUUCUUAUAGAGCUAUUCUUAACUUUAUUUUGGGGAUCUUUGAUUUUGUUGGGGUGUGUACAGACAUACUUUAGAGAUUGGUUCAGAAGUUCCAGACCACUGCAAUAAAAGCAAAUAUCUCAAAGCAAGUCACAUAAAUUUUUUUAGUUUUUUCAGUGUGUGCAAAUUUUUUUUUAAGAUGACCAUAACGGCUAUAAUAAUGAAAAAAGUUUGAAAUAAUGCUAAAAUUACUAUGACACAGGCACCUUCCCAGCUUCUAGAUGACAUUGCCUUAAAGAACACAGGGUCACUUCCAACUCCUUGACCUACAUCCAUUUAUCAGAGUUUAGUCUUACGUAGAAACUUCAUUAUUACAGAUUAAGUUAUAGUACUUACUACAGAAAGAGUGUUGGCCCUUGAAAUUUCAGGAUCUGAGGGAAAUUCUAAUUGCCAAAAGUUCUACUGGCUCCUUGUUUCCAGUAUCAAUUACAAAAUGCGUUAUAAGCUCAUCUGGUCUCCUACCUUUCCAGUCUCAUACACUCUUCUCACUAGUCUCCUUGCUGUUCUCCAAAUGAUAUUCCAUCUCGAUUCUGGGCAUUUAUGCUUUUCCUCCUUAUCUCUCUCCUGGCUUCUUUUAAGUUUCAACUGAAAUCCCAUCUCCAGGAAAACAAUUCUGGUUCUUUCCCUUUCAAUCAUCCAUAGCUUGUUUGUACAUAUUUGUUUGCUUGUCUCACCCAUUAGAUUGUGAGUUCUUGCAAGGCAGGAGCUCUUUGGUUCCUUUGCCUCUUAUUCCCAUCACUUAAUGCACUGCCUGCCAUAUAGUAGGUGUUGAACAAAUAAAUGUUUGUUUGCUUUGUGUUAGUUUUUUUUGUUUUGUUUUGUUUCAGGGGGAGACAAUUGGGAUAAGUGACACAGCUAGUAAGUAUCUGAGCUGGAUCUAAACUGGGGUUCUCCUGAUUCUAGGGCCUGUGUUCUAUCUGUCGCACUACCUUCCCUGUGUCUAGUCUUUCAGGGUGGGAAAAUGCAGCUUUCAGUGGUGGUUGCUGAUUGAAAUGAUGCUUGUAUAUUUUUAAGAGAAACACAUGUCUACUGUGAUAUUGUUUUAUCAUGUGAUAGUGCUCCGAGGUAUAUUCAAUUUAUAUCAAGCUAAUCUAAACAAAAUUGUAGGAAAUCUACUGCUCCUAACAUCACUACCUAUUCCUCAAUACCCAGCUUUUAUAUCAAGAUUUUCUUGGCUACAUCAGCAAAUAACUUAUUUAAUUUUUUUCUCUAAAUACCUACAUUACCAAACCCCACAAUUUACCGCUUAAUUAUAUAUUGUUUUGUAGCAUUCAUUGUUUAAUUUCUACUAGUUUCAUCUUCCCAAUUAAACUAAAUUCUUUGAUGGCAAAGAUUAUGCUUUAGAUUAUCUUCUAAAAAUUUAAAAACAUUUUUAUUGAAAAUUUUCAAGUUUCAAAUUCUAUUCUUGCCCUCUCCUCAUCCCUUAUCUUAUGACUAUAAGCAAAUAUAAUUAUACAUAUGCAAUUAUACAAAACAAUUGCAUAUUAGUCAUUUUUUACACGAAGACUUGAAUGAGAAAAACAAUGAAAAAAAGUGAUAUGAUCUUGUGAAUUGAUAUGACUCUUGUGAGUUGUGUGUACCCAGAGAGAGAGGACUGUGGGAACUAAGUGUGGAACCCAAGUAUUUUCACUUUUGUUAUUGUUUGUUUUGUUUUUUGCAUUUUUUCCUUUUUGACCUGAUUUUUCUUGUGCAGCAAGAUAAUUGUGAAAAUAUAUAUAGAAGAAUUGGACACAAUGAGUGGAGGGAAGGGAGGGGAAAAAAUUGGAACACAAGAUUUGGCAAAGGUGAAAGUUGAAAAGUAUCUAUGCCUGUUUUGAAACUAAAAAGCUUUAUUUAAAAAAAUAGUCAUUGUUGGAAUUUGUUUUACUGGAUUAUGCAUAUUUGUUACAAGAAUUUUGUUUUUCUUUUUCUUUUUCUAGUACCGAAAAAGAAUGAGAGGGAGAAAAGGUGAUUUUUGUUCAUUGAAAAAACAAAGUGUUUUCAAUGAGGAGGUUGGAUUAGAUGAUUUAUAAAGUCAUUUUCAGAGCUUUGUACAUAGUAAACACUUAAUGUUUAUGGACUUGGUCUGACUUCCAGGCUCAAGUCUUAUGAUGGUUGGUUAUGCCAGUUUUGCAUAUGACUCUUCUAAAUUCCACUAGAACAGGCUCUCCCUUUAGUGUACAAUUUAGCAAAACAAUUUCAUCUCUAAGAUCCUGUAGUCUGAAAUUCUCCUCUUCCAUUAUAAUCUUUCUUCUCCCCACUUCCUAUUCCUCUUAUAUCUGUUCUUUGCUCUCUCAAUGACCUUUUAUUUAUUUUUGCCUACCCCUUUCUACUUCCUCCCUAAUUCUGUAAGUUGUUUGAUAUAGAUUCUAUAUGUGCAAUUAUGUAAAACAUUUCCGUUGGUCAUAUUAUGAAAGCAGAAACAAUUUGCAAAAAAGAAAAAAAAUGAUAGUUUGCAAAGAAAGAAGGGAAGGAAGGAAGCAAAAACAGUAUGUUUCAAUCUGCAUUCAGACUUCCAUCAGUUCUUUCUCUAGAUUUGGAUGUUUCCCUUAUGAGUCUUUUAGAAUUGCAUGACAAACCUUUUGAUGAUCUCUUGUCUGUCACAUGUCUCACAAUACUUGUUAUAUAUUUUCUUAUAUCUAAGCCUUCAAUUCUACCUCUUUCCCUCUCAUUCUCAGUAUGCUAAAGACCAGACUUGUGAUUUCUAUCAUAUAGAGAACCUUCUAUCAGUAUAGAUUGGCAGAUUUGCCUAGAAAACUAAGAAGUUAAAUGACUUGUUAGCAUAAACCCAUUUCAAAUCCAGUUCUCUAUCAAAUAUAUCUUUGUUUCUCCAUACUCUGUACAAGAAUCCCAAAUCUCUUUAAUUACUCUUCCUUUGCUUCUAAUUUUAUUGAAAAGAUAAAAAUCAUUCACUUUCCUAAACCUUUCAGUAUUUUCAUCUAUCUUUUCCCUCUCAUUUCAUGUUCUUUUGAGGGGGGAGGGGAAUUGGGGUUAAGUGACUUGCCUAGGGUCAGAUAGCUAAUAAGUGAUAAGGUAAAGCUGUAUUUGAAUUCUGAUCUUACUGAAUCCAGGGCUAAUCCUCCAUGCACUGCAUCAGUGGUCUUCAUUAGAAUCUGGAAUGGGGGAAACUGACCUUAUUUGCCAAAGCUUAUUCCUCCACCAUCCCCUCUUUCUGUAUUUCCCUUCUCUGUUGGCAUUCACCCCUCAGCCUCUAAAUGUUCUCUGAUCUUUCUCUCCCUCUCUCCCUACACACACAGACACACACAUAUACACCCUCUUUCCCUGGAAUUUCCACCCCACCCUCCAUCCUCAGAUUAUCUGUCUGUCUUCUAUUCACUGCCAAAUUUACAUAAAGAAUUCCCUCACAACACUUCCUGUUUCUCACCCAUUCACUGACUCCUCAAUCCCUCAAUCCCAAUUCAACAGAAAUAGUUCUCUACAAAGUCACUAUGACCUUAUCUCAAAAUAGGUCAUCCUGGGUUUUUCAGCCUUCUCUUCCUUGGACUCUCUGCAACUUUAGCAAGCUUUGCUAUUUUGUUCUUGAUAUUUACUCUAACCUUGGCUUCUAUUACACGGAAUUAGGGUCCAGCUCAGUAACUACUAUACCCGAUUAUGUCCUGGAAGUAUGACUCUUGUCUUAGGGUUCUCAUCCCAAGUCUCUGCAUAUUCUUUUUUGUUAAAUGUUCUUUGAGAUAUCCUUAGAACUUCUCAAAUGAGAUAUUUUAAAAUAUUUGUAAAUCAUUUAGCAUAAUGCCUGGCACAUAGUAGGCACUUAAUAAAUAUGUAUUUCUUUUUUCCUCAUUUCUUUUCCUCCCUUUCUUUCCUCCUUUUCUUUCGGUCCUGCCUUUGCUUCCUUCCUUUCCUUUCUCCCUUCCUUCCUUACAUUCUUUCUUCCUUCGUUCCAUCCUUUCCUCAUUUCCUUCCUUCCUUUUUCCUAACCUCUCUUCUCUGAGAUUCAAACCCAGAUCCUUCAACGCUAAAUCCAGCACUAUGUCCAAGGUAAGUUUAAAUCAUAUGGAACACAGUUUGUUAAAUAAGAUUAAAAAGCAUAAUUUAUUCUGGAAAGUUUUCUUUCUUGAAAGAAAAGUAGUCAAAAUCCAAGCACCUGGUCUAAAGCUACAUUUUCUGUAAAACUUCCUUAUGUGAACUUUAUGUGUUCAUCCCCAUUAAUUGGUAACCAACUGCCACAUGCAGGGCAGGUAAACCAGUCAGCCUAGCAGAAGCAUCAAAGCAUCCCAGAGAAAAGACGGGAGAUAGCAUGUUCCAGGCAAAUCAAAUCAUUGUCAUCAUCUACCAUCCCCUCUCAAACAGUAGAGAAGAUAACACAGGAGUUAGAAGUCAAAACUCUGAGCUACCACUACACACCUCUCAGAUUGGCUAAGAUGACAGGAAAAGACAAGGACAAAUAUUGGAGGGAAUGUGGGAAAACAGGGACCCUAAUAUAUUGUUGGUGGAGUUGUGAACUGAUCCAACCAUUGUGGAGAUCAAUUUGAAACUAUGUCCAAAGGGCUAGCAAACUGUGCAUACCUUUUGACCCAGCAGUGUUUCUACUGGAUCUGUAUCCCAAAGAGAGAUUAAAGGAGGGAAAGGGCACAUGGGCAAAAAUGUUUGUGGCAGCCCUGUUUGUAGGGGCUAGAAACUGGAAAACGAAUGGAUGCCCAUCAUUUGGAGAAUGGCUGGAUAAGUUAUGAUAUAUGAAUGUUAUGGAAUAUUAUUGUUCUAUAAGAAAUGAUGAGCAGGCUAAUUUCAGAAAGACCUGGAGAGACUUAUAUGAACUGAUGCUAAAAAUGAGUGGAACCAAAAGAUCAUUGUACAUGGCAACAAUGUACAAUGUACUAUAGGAAGAUCGAUUCUGAUGGGCGCGGCUCUUAUCAACAAUGAGACCAAUUCCAAUGGUCUUAUGAUGAAGAGAGUCUUCUACACCCAGAGAGAGAAUUGUGGGAACUAAGUAUGGAUCACAACAUAGUAUUUUCACCUUUUUUGUUGUUUGCUCGCAUUUUGUUUUCUUUCUCAUUUUUUAUUAAAUUUUUCUUGUGUACCAUGAUAUGUAUAGAAGAAUUGCACAUUGGAUUAUUUGCCAUCUAGAGAAAGGAGUGGGGAAAAG